RNAcentral lists this ribosomal RNA (109 nucleotides) under Scophthalmus maximus (turbot). The record is from RNAcentral. Lineage: Eukaryota; Metazoa; Chordata; Actinopteri; Pleuronectiformes; Scophthalmidae.
GCUUACGGCCACACCGCCUGGUUCACGCCUGAUCUCGGAAGCUAAGAUAGGUUGGGCCUGGUUAGUACUUGGAUGGGAGACCGCCUGGGAAUACCAUGUGCUGCAAGCU